RNAcentral lists this ribosomal RNA (457 nucleotides) under uncultured bacterium. Its description in RNAcentral is "SSU rRNA". It matches the Rfam family "Bacterial small subunit ribosomal RNA", at positions 26 to 518 of the family's 1533-position model. The record is from RNAcentral.
AGAACGAACGCUGGCGGCAGGCCUAACACAUGCAAGUCGAACGCCGUAGCAAUACGGAGUGGCAGACGGGUGAGUAACGCGUGGGAACAUACCCCCCGGUUCGGAAUAACUCAGGGAAACUUGAGCUAAUACCGGAUACGUCCGAGGUUUAAUCGGCUUCGGAGAAAGAUUUAUCGCCGGAGGAUUGGCCCGCGUCUGAUUAGCUUGUUGGUGAGGUAAUGGCUCACCAAGGCGACGAUCAGUAGCUGGUCUGAGAGGAUGAUCAGCCACAUUGGGACUGAGACACGGCCCAAACUCCUACGGGAGGCAGCAGUGGGGAAUAUUGGACAAUGGGCGAAAGCCUGAUCCAGCCAUGCCGCGUGAGUGAUGAAGGCCUUAGGGUUGUAAAGCUCUUUGCCCGGGAAGAUAAUGACGGUACCGGGAGAAUAAGCCCGGCUAACUUCGUGCCAGCAGCCGC